Long non-coding RNA from Clupea harengus (Atlantic herring), 1154 nucleotides. The record is from Ensembl. NCBI's taxonomy places the organism in Eukaryota, Metazoa, Chordata, Actinopteri, Clupeiformes, Clupeidae.
UGUGUGUGUGUGUGUGCUCAGCUCUCCUCUCUUGUGCAAAGACAGUAGUUGUGUGAGGGUGUGUGUGUGUCCCGUGGGGUUCCUGGUGUUCACGUGUGCAUAACGUCUGGAAUGGGGGUUAUUUUGAACUGGCUCUAUUUUAAGCCAUAUAUCCCUUUUGGCAAACCUGCCUUAGUGGAUACUGCGUAGUGUUAUAACCACAUAUGAGCUGUGUUAAACCAUCACCCCCCACCAUCCUUAUCUUGUGAGCAAGCAGCUCCCACACUGGGGAGCCCCUCUGGCCAGAUGUGAAGGUAACAAACGCCAACAAACAGAAGAGUCCAGGGAUGGCUGUGUGGACUAGGAGACUGUGUGGACUACGAGACUGUGUGGACUAUUAGACUGUGUGGACUAGGAGACUGUGUGGACUAUUAGACUGUGUGGACUAGGAGACUGUGUGGACUAUUAGACUGUGUGGACUAUUAGACUGUGUGGACUAGGAGACUGUGUGGACUAUUAGACUGUGUGGACUAUUAGACUGUGUGGACUAGGAGACUGUGUGGACUAGCAGGCUAGAAACAGGACGUAGGGCAGCAUGUGUGAGGUGGACAUAAUGGAAAAGGAGACUGUUAUUUAUGAGGUGCUUUGAGUUAUGACAUGACUCCUAGUAUGUCCUCCAUCUCUGUCUCUCUCUUACUCUCUCUCUGUCUCUCUGACACACAAACGCAAUGUUCCUUCCAGUUGUUCUUAACAGUCUGUAGAAUAAAGAACAAUAAUCUGACAACUCUGAUCGACACGCAGUGUCCCUCCCAGGCUCUGCCCAUGGUCUCGCCAACAUGAAACCUGUCUUUCCCGUGGGGUUGAGCUCAAAGCUACGAGUGCAUGAUAAUGAGCAAGCAUAAAGCCGUAAGUCCAUGUUCAUAAAGCCCCAUUACGCUUGACGCAGAGGAACUGAAGCUAUGUGAGGAAUGGGAGCGAUGGAAGGCAAGCUGCCCACAGAGUGACUUCAGUCAGGUCGCGGGACGUACCACUCUCGUGAUGGAUGGGGGAGGUCAAGCGUGUGGUCUCCCCCCUCUCCUGGCGGGUAACGAGCCCAAAGUGGGCUCUAGGGGGGGGCGGGGUGGAGAUGAAAACCAUCUUGUGGGAUUGAGUGCGGUGAGUGAUAUCAAAGGUGC